Molecule: long non-coding RNA, 1129 nt
Organism: Oxyura jamaicensis (ruddy duck)
Lineage: Eukaryota; Metazoa; Chordata; Aves; Anseriformes; Anatidae
Exons: 4
Source: RefSeq, a predicted model, not a curated record
UAAGAGGGCAGAUGGAAGCAUCUGCCUCGGGCAGGUGAGCGGGCAGAGGUGUCUCACACAGACUCAAAGGAGCAAACUGCAUUCUGAAGAGCUGCGUGCCAUGGCUAGCAGUCCACAGAAGUGGCUGAUGAUUUGAGAUAAGACCGGAGAGCGGCAAGGAGCGGCACGUGCAGUUAUGCCUUCCAAGCACUGCGGUUGCUCUGUUCUGAUUAUCAGGUGAAGAGGUGCCUGAAGCCGUGUCUCGUGUGGGCUGAGGACGCCUCACUGAGGAUGAAGCCUGCUUUCCAGCAGGUCCCAAAGCUGUGUUGGGGCUGAAAUGCUGUGUCUGUAUUUGGGUUGGGGUUGUGCCUUGGUGAGUGUGGGGAUGGGUUUUAAGUCGGUGCAGCAGAUAUGUAUAUAAAUGAAAUUCACAUAAGUGAUAUAUGAUGAAGUAUUGUGAAUCCUUGAACUUCUAGCCUACAUUAGCUAAUAUGUAUGGAGUUGCAUGAAACAUUGAGAAGCAGCUUCUAAUAAGCAGGUUUUUGUUGUCAUUAACUCAGCCCAUGCCUUUGCCAUACGUAAAGAUCAAGACAAACUACCUUUUUACACAGGAACUGCUGUGGGUGCACAGAAAGUCCUAGAGGACAUUUAGGGCUGUAUUUUGGUUCCCAAAGUGUUUUUACCUGGUCCAACUGAUUUAUAUUGGCCGAGCCUCUUCAUAGGGUCCCUGUGUGGUUGCAGAGCCUAGCCACGGUGUUUCCACUGCGCUCUAUGCUCCAUCCUCUUCUUUAGAGUCAGCACACCAGCUUCCCCUUGUGCAAUAUCAUCUAAGGCUGGAGUCCUAGGGAAUGCUUAGGUAGCACAGCUAUCCUCCACCCUAAAAGCUUCUUCAUUGCUGUACGUUUUCUUUAAAAGGUGAAUAUUAGUUUAAUUUGCCUAGUUACUUCAGGCAGUUACUCCACAACUACCAAAAGCGAUAGUGAGAAGCCUGCUUCCAGCAUCCGUUCCCCACCUCGGGAUGGACAGAUGGACGCCACUCGAUGCCUUGCCCGCCAGGGGAAGGGGAGAACUACUGGGCAGGGAACCCCACCGCAGCCCCCCUCCUGGGAGUCCUGUAGAGCAGUUUAAUAAAGUUUGCUUUCUGACCUGC